Non-coding RNA from Penaeus vannamei (Pacific white shrimp), 338 nucleotides. Lineage: Eukaryota; Metazoa; Arthropoda; Malacostraca; Decapoda; Penaeidae. The record is from RefSeq and is a predicted model, not a curated record.
ACAUGUUGGGCUUGUGUCAGAGUGUCAAGUCGCUUCUUCAUGGACAGGUGAAAUAAUGGUGAAUCUCUACCUCUUCCCGCUCGUCUGCGUCGUAUUCCUGCCACUAUGUUAUUCCUCAGAGUACUGCGAGUACCCUCUCCUAGAUGAAGCAUCACUAAGGGCAUCGUCCGAGCUACACACGAGAGAGGCAGACAAGGCCAAAUUGUACGGUGCAUUCUGAGCAGGCAUCAGAUGGUGGCUCCCCAAGUGUUGUGGUCAUCUUAUCCUACUGAUCUGAGUGUAGCAAAGAGAGAGGACUCCCCAUUUGUCUUUUGGCAAAAUAUUUUGGAUGUGUUGAU